This 4237-nucleotide long non-coding RNA is filed under the name Solanum lycopersicum (tomato). RNAcentral describes it as "long non-coding RNA (SLYC_LNC000196)". The record is from RNAcentral. Lineage: Eukaryota; Viridiplantae; Streptophyta; Magnoliopsida; Solanales; Solanaceae.
UUAAAUGUAUUUUCGUAAUGGAGUUAAAGUAUUUUGGGAGGUUUGAAAAUUGAAUUGAUUUUUUCUAAGAUAUUAGAAUUGAAUAAUGGACCAGUUAUGUUUAAAGAAAAACAUAUGUAUAAAAACAUAUAGGUCAAACAAGCAUAAAUGUAACAUUUAACACACUAACAAUAUACAACGCCUCCUAACAUACGUGUGACCUUUUAAGUCAAAGGUAAGCCUAACGUUUGAGGGAUAUAUAUAUCAUUUGUAAAUCGUUCCAUUGACCCAAAAAUAUUUAUACAAAACUUAUGAAUAAAAUAAAUAGGGAUACACAAUAGAGGAAAGGGAAAUAAAUAUCAGUCCCACGUAGGGGUACAAUGGUAAACUAAGCUAAGCUUCGAUAUGAAUCUUCAUUCCCGAACUUCUUGAAGCUUUUUAAAUUCUUCUUGAUGAGGAGAGUCUUCACUUGAAUUAAACAAACAAACUACCUAUAAAAAUAAAGAUCCCAACCCCAAAGGACAAUGGUACUUACAAAUCGACAUACAUAUCCUUCAAAUUUAACAAAUAAUUGAAUGAUCGUCUUAUAUUGACCGAGGGUGAAUUUGACUCAAGGGGGUCUUAUAAUGGGUCCAAUACACCUUUGGUAUUGGAUCAUCUUAGGUUAAUGCGCCUAAAAAGGGUUUUGGUUGAGCUCUAACUUAGUUGACUAAGAGUGGCUUUUGAAGGACCGGGAGCCUAAGCGGACAACUUAGGCUGAAAUUCACGAUAACUAUUGAACACAUGACGAACAAAUAAAUUAUCAGUAAUUCCAAAAAAAGGUUGAGUAUAAAAAGUCUGGUUGCAGUUUCGCAAACCAUUCUUUAAUAUACUGUACAUAUAAUAUCAGAAGAUACCAUGAAUGCAAUAUAAUAGUUAAUAAUCAAAAUUUAAACACAAUUGCAUCAAAUAACAAUUAAUACAAUAAUAGUUAGCCAAAUAAUAAAAUCCUUUGGGUUAGAACCUAGAUGAAUCCCUAGCAGAGUUGUCAUUCUGUUACGACCCGGUUUCAAAAACUGAAAAGGUUUCAAAGACGAUUUCGCAACUUUGGUCAAUUUUUUGUUGUGUUUUUGGAAAAAAAAAAUUUUAGGAAGUCACCACUUAUUGUUUAGGAAAAAAAUAAGAAAAUCAUUUAAAAGGAGAUUUUUGAAAGAAAACAUUUAAAACCAAAGUCGGGUAAGGGUUCAAAUAAUUCUUUAAGGAAGGGUUUAGGCGCCUUAGAGAAUCCGCUAACACGCGGAUGACCGACGGAUUUUAAAGUUUGGCUAAUAUUUAAGAAAAAACUUAAGGUCACUUGUUAAGUAAGGAAGAUGUUUAAGGUGUAAAAACCGUCGAAAAUAUUUUUUGACUUAAUAAUUUAUCCGAGUUAUUAUUUUGAACCAAAUGGCUAGUUCAAAUUCAUAAAACAUGGAUUCAAAGCUUUUUAAUAAAUAUGAAAGAACAUACAUAGUUCUUCAGUUAUUCCAUAAGCUUAAGUCGCCUAAAAAUAAACUGUGUUAACAAAUCCAACUCCUUGAAAAGGAAUUUGAUAAAGGGAAAAACUAAAUAAUGUUAAACUCAUAUGAGGAUUCAUCCAAGCCAAUAAAAUGUUAGAGAAUGUUAGCAAUCACAACAAUAACAAUAAUAAAAAGGAAGUAACAUAAACAGAGAAUCCAAAACUGAAAAUUUCAGCCCCAAUCAAACUAUUUUAGGGGGCUAAAAUUGUUGUCUUUUGCCGCUGAGAUCUAAGGCCUUCGACCCAAAAUGCUUUCUGUUCCUGUUGUGAUUUUCUCUGACUUUAAAGUCGAAAAGAAAGUCGUUUUAACACUUUGAAACUGCUACAAUUCUGCCUAAUUUCAGCUGUUCAAAUUGCGGCCAAUUUGAACGGAAAACACUUUCAUUUUCAGCUAUUUUGAGUUGUGGUUGCUGCUUGUUUUUUUGGCUUCUCUUUCACUACUUAAAGAGGGUUGACUCAGAGAGGAAAAUGCAGGAGAUGGGGAGUCCAAAUGGACUCAAAUGAGAGAAUUUAUGAAAAAGAAAAAUUAAAUUGCUAAACAACCAACUUAAACUAGACAUAUAUUUAUAACUCUGGAAAUUAUAAAAUAAGAGUACUGCUAACAGUGGUCACAAAAGAUAGAGACUAAAUGAAUGAAAGAAGCAACGGUAAAAUUCAAAAGAAGAAAAGCGUAACAACAAAAAAACACAAAUUUGAAUAAAUCUGUUUUAAGGACGAACCAUAUUCUUAUGGAAUCUAAGUUAAAAUGCCAAUCAACAUGUCAUUAUCUCAAAAUUUCAUUCAAUAACAGAAACCAUAUUAACACUAAAAUAAAUGAAAGAAAAGGGAGCAUAGAAUGAAAAUCACAUAAGAUCAAUUGACAUGUAUUAACAUAAAUAUGCGAAGGGUAGUGGAAAUAACAGAUCAUAGCAAAGACUUCAAGGAAUUCCAGGCUAACAUGUUUAGUUUCUUUAAACUGACACGAGUAUUAUAUACAAAAAAGCAAAGAACGAACUCUACUAUUUCUGGAAAAAUGAGCAAACCAAUAAUCAAUCAGGAUUAGUAACGCAUGGCCUGACACAUGAGCUCUCAAAUAGAACAUCUAAACUAAUAAUUAGCUAAUAGUAAGAAAUCCAAAACCAAGCCAAUGUACACAAUUUAGAAUUUAUAUCUCAAAAGAGCGACAUGAGGAUCUAAAGGAUUUAGGAGCAACCAAAGAUAAGUCGAAUUAGAAUUCAACUUCAUCUAGAGCUCGAUUAAACCUAAGAUCAACUCAUGAUUUCCGACCAAAUAAAACCCUUCACAUAAGAAGCAAGCAAGAUAGCCACAUUGUGAAAAGGGGACUGGAUGUGGAAAAAAAGAGAGCAGAGGCUUACUUUAGAGAGCACGUCUGAAAGUAGAAUUGAGAUUGAGUGCACUCAAAAUGAAUCUACAUACAACAUAUUGUUGUUCAAUCCCCUUGGACUACAAACGAAUUGAAUAGAAUAUCAACGAUGUCAUAAUAAGCUAAAGAAACAAGUUCAUAAUAUAAACAACAACUAAACACAGAGAAGUCACAUCAACAUUUUAAUCAUUUAUGCUUAAGAAAUCUGAUAAACAACAUGAAACAAAACUAUCUUGAAUAAUCUAAGACCUCAGAUUUUAUAAACUAAUAAAUAAACUCCUAUUUCACAGAGACCAAAAUGAUAGAAAGUAAACCAAGUAUUAACAUUUUUAUCCGGUUCAUGGAGCAAGAGAUAGAUUCUUAAGGAAAUAAUAGAGGAGUAACUUUUAAUUCGAGUUAGCAAUGCUAUACCCCUUUUUUUUAGAUUGUUUUCAAUCACCAGAUGCUAUACAAAAUCAACCAAGCAACUUGUGCUAUUAAAUCAAAACAAGAUUUCUCAUCUUUACUAAAAGAAGACUGCUAACUUUCUCGAGAAGCUAGGAUUGGAAACUCAAACAACGCACGAGGAAUAAAAGGACACUGGUAGAUACUUGUAAAAUAACCAAUACUAAGACAUUCAACAGAAAAGGACUCAUCAACAUAGAGAAAUUAGGAAACAUAAUCAGCCUUAAUUUGGCUCCAACACAUAAUACAGCAACAUGGACUAAAAUUAAACUAAAUAGAAAAGGAAAAGAAAGAAUUACCUCGUUCUGGGCAGCGACUGGAACAAUGAGUUGAAAAGACGACUCCACUUCUUCAACUCGAAAAGCCACUAAACGUUUUAAAAUUUUUAACUAUGGAACCAAGAAUUCCCAAAACUUUCUGGGUACUCUUUAGUCUCCGAAAAUCGUCCUCUAAAACAGUGAAUGAAGAGGGUUUAUAUAGAAAGGAUUCUAGGUCGAAAUUGAGGGGAAAAUGAUGUGGCAAAAGUUAAGAUUUCAAAUUUUCUCAAAGGAAAAGGUAUAAAAAACAGCUCGAGUAAUACAAAAUUCAUCACCUGGUGACAAAUUUCAACGACUAAGAAAACUAGAGUCGUUCCAUUUAGACGUCAGGACAAGUGAAUCGUUGAUCUCGUUUCCACCUAGCACUGGAGCUUUGUACGAAUCGUCGAUGGAGCAAAGAAAAAGACACCAAAAUAGUACUGGGUACCUGUAAGCGUCUCUCGCAUGAAGAUGAACGCAUAUAGGAGGGUGUUUUAGUAUUGUUGCAUUUCUGAGUAAAUCACGAAGAAGAUGAACAGGGUCAGGUCAUCUGGGUGUUUCUGUAUGCGUGUGUAUUGGAAUAGUGGGCUGGGUUUUCUUUUGUGAACAAUUGAAAGUGGG